Molecule: ribosomal RNA, 116 nt
Filed under: Pteropus alecto (black flying fox)
Lineage: Eukaryota; Metazoa; Chordata; Mammalia; Chiroptera; Pteropodidae
Source: RNAcentral
GUCUACAGCCACGCCACCCUGAACAAGCCCCAUGUCUAAUCUCAGAAGCUAAGCAGGGUCAGGCCUGGUUAGUACUUGGAUGGGAGACCACCUAGAAAGGCCAGGUGCUGUAGGCA